This 393-nucleotide ribosomal RNA is filed under the name uncultured bacterium. RNAcentral describes it as "partial 16S ribosomal RNA". It matches the Rfam family "Bacterial small subunit ribosomal RNA", at positions 523 to 918 of the family's 1533-position model. The record is from RNAcentral.
AUGCGGAGGGUCCGAGCGUUAUCCGGAUUUAUUGGGUUUAAAGGGAGCGUAGGCGGGAGAUCAAGUCAGCUGUGAAAUGUAGAUGCUCAACAUCUGCACUGCAGUUGAAACUGGUUUUCUUGAGUGCGUAAGGGGCAGGCGGAAUUCGACGUGUAGCGGUGAAAUGCUUAGAUAUGACGAAGAACUCCGAUCGCGAAGGCAGCCUGCCGGGCCGCGACUGACGCUGAAGCUCGAAGGUGCGGGUAUCGAACAGGAUUAGAUACCCUGGUAGUCCGCACAGUAAACGAUGGAUACUCGCUGUCGGCGAUAUACGGUCGGUGGCCAAGCGAAAGCGUUAAGUAUCCCACCUGGGGAGUACGCCGGCAACGGUGAAACUCAAAGGAAUUGACGGGG